GUCUAUGGCCAUACCACCCUGAACACGCCCGAUCUCAUCUGAUCUCGGAAGCUAAGUAGGGUCUGGCCUGGUUAGUACUUGGAUGGGAGACCGCCCGGGAAUACCGGGUGCUGUAGGCU
This 119-nucleotide ribosomal RNA is filed under the name Mus pahari (shrew mouse). The record is from RNAcentral. Lineage: Eukaryota; Metazoa; Chordata; Mammalia; Rodentia; Muridae.